RNAcentral lists this ribosomal RNA (1398 nucleotides) under Archips sp. 2019HN00066. Its description in RNAcentral is "16S ribosomal RNA". The record is from RNAcentral. Lineage: Eukaryota; Metazoa; Arthropoda; Insecta; Lepidoptera; Tortricidae.
AUAAAAUAAAAAUUAGUAAAUUUUAAAUUAAUAAAAAUAAUUUUUAAUAAAAUAUUUAAUUUUAGGGGGUUUAAGUAUUUUUUAAAGAAAAAAUUUUUUAAUUUAUAAAGAAUUAGUAUUGUGAAAGAAUUUUGAAAUAAUUGAAAAUUAAUUUUUUUUAAAGUAAAUUUAAUUUAUUGUAUCUUGUGUAUCAGAGUUUAUUAAUAAAAUAUUUUUAAUAAAAAAAAAAUUCUCGAAUUUAAAAGAGUUAAUUAAUUAAUAAAUUUAUUGUAGCAAAAAUAUUUUUCAUAAUUAGUUAGAAAUGAUAUGUUAAUCGUUUUUAAAUAUAUCUAGUUUUUUUAGAAAAAAAUUUAAUUUUAAAUUAAUUUUAUAAAAAUAUUAAUUAAAAAAUAUUUUUUAAAUAAAAUUUAAUAAAUUAAGGGAUAAGCUUUAAUUUAAAAUAUUAUAAUAAUUUUUAUUUAAUUGAAAAUUUUAAAAUUUAUAUUGUUUAUAAAUUAUAAUUUUUUAUAAAUAAUUUCAUUAAAAAUAAAAUUUAAUAAAAAUUUAAUUUUUUUAUAAAAAAAUAAAAUUUAAUAAUAAAAUUUUAGUUAUAAUGAUAAAAUUAGUAUAAAUAAAAAAAAAUAUAAUAUAAAUAAUUAUAAAAAUUAAAUUAAUAAAUGUAUAUUUGUUUAAUAAGUUAUAAGGAAUUCGGCAAAAAUUUAUAUUCACUUGUUUAUCAAAAACAUGUCUUUUUGAAUAAUAAUUAAAAGUCUAAUCUGCCCACUGAUAAAAUUAUUAAAGGGCUGCAGUAUUUUGACUGUACAAAGGUAGCAUAAUCAUUAGUCUCUUAAUUGGUGACUUGUAUGAAAGAUUGAAUGAGAUAUAUACUGUCUUAUUAUUUUUUAUAGAAUUUAAUUUUUUAGUCAAAAAGCUAAAAUAAUUUUAAAAGACGAGAAGACCCUAUAGAGUUUUAUAUAAAAUAAUAAUUAAAAAUUUUUUUAUUAAUUUAAAAUUAAAAUUAAAUUUUAUAUUUUGUUGGGGUGAUAGAAAAAUAAAAUUAACUUUUUUUAUAUAUAUAUAUAUAAUUAACAUUUAUAGAUGAAUAAUUGAUCCAUAAUUUUUGAUUAUAAGAUUAAAUUACCUUAGGGAUAACAGCGUAAUUUUUUUUUUUAGUUCAAAUAAGAAAAAAAGUUUGCGACCUCGAUGUUGGAUUAAGAUAAAAUUUAAAUGCAAAAGUUUAAAAUUUUGAUCUGUUCGAUCAUUAAAAUCUUACAUGAUCUGAGUUCAAACCGGUGUAAGCCAGGUUGGUUUCUAUCUUUAAAUAAUUAAAAUAUUUUAGUACGAAAGGAUCAAAUAUUUAAAAUAAUUUUAAUAAAAUGAAGAAUGUUAAUAAAAUUUAUUUAAAAAAUAAAAAUUAAA